Molecule: non-coding RNA, 915 nt
Organism: Camellia sinensis
Lineage: Eukaryota; Viridiplantae; Streptophyta; Magnoliopsida; Ericales; Theaceae
Source: RefSeq, a predicted model, not a curated record
CCACCAUAUCACACAUAUUUUCACAAUCAGUUGCCAAAUCAGCCACAUCAUUGAAGACAUUGAACAUUUUAUUAUACUGACAUGUUUCAGGCAACAUUGAAGGUUGUUAUAAUUGAUAAUCACUUUACUAUGGCACCUUUUCACAUUUUUGUUCCAUCUUCUUAAAAUGUACUUGUCUGAUAUCUCAUGGAUCUUUUCUUUCAUUAACACCACAAUUUGAUGCCUACACACUAUUCCCCUAAACUCGAACAAUCGACAACUACAAUUUGUGUCAAAGUUAUUCUUAUCAAAAUACAUAGUGAAAUGUGCUAAUCGAAGGUUCUCUCCAAAUGGAACAUCUUUACUUACUUCAUAUAGAAAAAUUGGGACCUUGUGUAUACAAAGUCAAAUUGCAAUGAAGGUGCCCUACAACCUCUUGUUGGAACUCUUUAAAUUUUGCAAUAGUGUAAGCUUUUUGAAAUUGCUUCUCAAAUGGAGAAUUAAAUUCUUCUCCAUUUUCAUUUUCCACCUUCUUCGCCAAAGCAUUCUCAUAUUGCUCCACAAAUUGUUUCAAAGUGGUUUUUGAGUUGAUGCACUCAUCAAAGAAUGCGUGCAUGCUUUCACUUCGUUGUGUGGUUGACAUUCUUGCCCAAAAAAUGUCUUUGACAAAUGUAAUUUUUUUCAAGAUAUGCCACAAAACCAUCAAUGACGCACAUUAGGGAAAACAAUUUGUGUAACAUUUUUCAUGGCUUUGUCUUGAUCUGUAAUAAUAGCAUUUGGAGGACAUCCAGACAUGCAUGCAAGCCAAGACUUAAAUAACCAUGUAAAUGUCGCUGUGUUUUCACGUGAAAUGAGUCCACAACCUAACAAUGUUGAUUGUCUAUGAUAGUUGACCCCAAUAAAUGGGGCAAAGGGUAUAUCAUACUUAUUUACCAA